RNAcentral lists this ribosomal RNA (493 nucleotides) under uncultured bacterium. RNAcentral describes it as "partial 16S ribosomal RNA". It matches the Rfam family "Bacterial small subunit ribosomal RNA", at positions 28 to 506 of the family's 1533-position model. The record is from RNAcentral.
GACGAACGCUGGCGGCGCGCUUAACACAUGCAAGUCGAACGGAAAGGCCUGCUUUCCCUUGUGGAUUGCGGGUACUCGAGUGGCGAACGGGUGAGUAACACGUGAGUGAUCUGCCCCCAACUUGGGUAUAAGCCUGGGAAACUGGGUCUAAUUCCCGAUAGGACUGCAGGGUGGUGCCUGUGGUGGAAAACGAUUUUCUAGUGGUUGGGGAUGAGCUCGCGGCCUAUCAGCUUGUUGGUGGGGUAAUGGCCUACCAAGGCGGCGACGGGUAGCCGGCCUGAGAGGGUGGACGGCCACAUUGGGACUGAGAUACGGCCCAGACUCCUACGGGAGGCAGCAGUUGGGAAUAUUGCACAAUGGGCGGAAGCCUGAUGCAGCGACGCCGCGUGGGGGAUGACGGCCUUCGGGUUGUAAACUCCUUUCGACCGCGAGGAAGCCACCUGGUUGGAAGGGUGGUGACGGUAGUGGUAGAAGAAGCACCGGCUAACUACGU